This is a long non-coding RNA of Drosophila miranda, 931 nucleotides long. RefSeq lists it as uncharacterized. The record is from RefSeq and is a predicted model, not a curated record. The transcript is spliced from 3 exons. Lineage: Eukaryota; Metazoa; Arthropoda; Insecta; Diptera; Drosophilidae.
UAUUAAUAUUAUUAUUUUAUUGACUCCCUCCCUCUUUAUCUUUCUGUCUUUCUUUCUCGUUUGCAAUCUCAAAAAUUCCCGUAUACGAUAUAGUAUGUAUUUCUCGUGUGUGACCUUGCUAAUCAGACUUUGACCCACUUAGAGUGCCGACUCAUGUUUUAGUCUCUCAAGACCCAAAAAUAAUCAAGCAACUUCAUUGCAUUCGUAUCUAUUUAUCUGUUUAGCUCUCUCACAUAUCUGUAUCUGUAUCGGUAUCGGUAUCUCAUAGAUACAUAAUCAAAUGCGCCGGCGAAACAAAAAAAAACACACACAGCCCCAUAAUAAAAACGCGUUCGUUCGAAAGUUAAAAGCCCCGAAAAAAAGCAAAAAAAAAAUAAACACAAAAAUUGAGUAAGCCGAUGACGCAAAAGGACAACACAAUUUUUGUUCAACCUGAUGUCCAGCCGAAAUUGAGAGAGAGGUUUAAACAAUUAUUGCCCUGAGGGUUCAACCUUACUAAAAGAUUAAUAAAAUUAAAAUAGUUUUAAUGUCUUAGUGUUUGUAAAGUGCGUCAGAGAUGGGGAAAAACAUUGAAACAAUUCGGGGGAAACAUGUGCGAAAAAAGAAAAGAAAUAAAAGGGCAUUAAGGAAGACGUGGGGAACGGAGUGGAUUCUUCUUUGCUAUUUCCUAUGCCACUCACUUGUACCAUCUAUCAAUCAUCUUAUAUGAGCAUUUAGCAUGAAAUAAUAGAGAAAUUUUGUGCUACAGGAAUAAAUUCUAUCAUAUCUGAAGAAAUCCCAUUUGUUUUCAAUAUAGACAAUAUUCUUCACUUUCAUUUCAAAAGAAUCUAAAAAGUCGGAAUAUUUUAUAACCCUUUCCACAUACCAUUCAAUCUGAAACAAUAUUCAAUCUGUAGAUAGUUUUUAUCUUUAAAUAUAGGGACCUCUUUAC